GACGAACGCUGGCGGCGUGCUUAACACAUGCAAGUCGAACGGUGAAGCGCCUUCCUUUUUGGUGGGUGUGGAUGAGUGGCGAACGGGUGAGUAACACGUGAGUAACCUGCCCCCUUCUUCUGGAUAACCGCAUGAAAGUGUGGCUAAUACGGGAUAUUCUGGGUCUGUCGCAUGAUGGGUCUGGGAAAGAUAUUGUUUCGGUGGGGGAUGGGCUGGCGGCCUAUCAGCUUGUUGGUGGGGUGAUGGCCUACCAAGGCGGUGACGGGUAGCCGGCCUGGGAGGGUGGACGGUCACACUGGGAGUGAGACACGGCCCAGACUGCUACGGGAGGCAGCAGUGGGGAAGAUGGCACAAUGGGGGCAAGCCUGAUGCAGCGACGCCGCGUGAGGGAUGGAGGCCUUCGGGUUGUGAACCUCUUUCGCCAGUGAAGCAGGCCUGCCUCGUUUGUGGGUGGGUUGACGGUAGCUGGAUAAGAAGCGCCGGCUAACUACGUG
This 494-nucleotide ribosomal RNA is filed under the name uncultured bacterium. RNAcentral describes it as "partial 16S ribosomal RNA". It matches the Rfam family "Bacterial small subunit ribosomal RNA", at positions 28 to 507 of the family's 1533-position model. The record is from RNAcentral.